Molecule: long non-coding RNA, 1381 nt
Filed under: Linum usitatissimum (flax)
Lineage: Eukaryota; Viridiplantae; Streptophyta; Magnoliopsida; Malpighiales; Linaceae
Description: long non-coding RNA (LUSI_LNC006743)
Source: RNAcentral
ACCGCCGCCUCCUUCUCCUUUCUUCUCCCAUAGCGCUAAAGGAAAAAAAGAAGGAAUAAAAGGUUAAAAGAACUCUAGAACCCCCCUCUUUACUCACGUUUCUUCUGUUUUCGCCUAGAUAUGGACAGGCAUGUCAUCGGAGGAUGCUCCGACGAGUCCUUCGGUGACAUGCAAACCCCGAUCUGUAGUUCUCGAGUUUUAUGUUUGUGUUUAAAAAGCUUUUCUGACUUUUGUUGUUUUAUUUUGUUCCCCUUAUUUAGGGGUUUGGAAUCGAUGGAGCGAGAGAAGAAGCAGGAAACAGAUGGAAGGAAAAAAACAAAAGUCGCCGCCCAUGACGGAUGCGCCGACAUUAGAAGAGGCGGACGAGAAAUGUAAAAAAAUCUCAGCUCUUUGUUUAUUCUAGUUUUGCUUGGUAGAUUUUGGUUGUUUUGUUGUUGGCUAGGUUGCUUAAAACAUGAAAAAAUAAUUGACUGGUUUGUUGUUGAAGUUGGACUAGUAGUCUAAAUGUUUGUGCAAACAAUUUUCAGUUUGAAAACUUCGGUCGUUGUACUACUUCUGAUAAAAUUCCAGCAAGAAUAUUUUACAGAAAAUUCAUAUUUUAGAUCGAUUGUGGUAUCAUACUACGAAUAGCCUUAUAAUUCUUGAGUCCUUGGUGCAAAUGGUGUAAAAAAUUAUGACAGAUGGUCUUUUAGUCCGUUGUUAAUAUAUUUCUAACAACUUUUAAUUAUUUUAGGAUGUUUAUUUUACUGUUUAGUCCAAUGUUUGUUAAAAUGAAUCAUUUAUCCUUUUUCUUUGUAAUGAAAAUUAGAUUAGGAGAGGCUUUAAAUGAUAUAGCAUAACAAACACAUUCGUAUGCAGGAGCCGAGACUGUGGGUGAUAUGUGAGUUAUCGAGAAUAGGGAUGUUUGUGAAGGGUAUACCUUUAAUACGAGGCUUUUUGUCGUGUUUUAGGUGGCGGCGCCUAUCUUCGUCUCCUAACUUUUUGGACAAAUCCUCCUUUGGCGGCUUCUGCGUGGAUGACGACAAAAAUAUUUGUAAUUUUCAGUUUUAGUUUUUUGUAGUGUUUAUUGUUAUUUGGGACUUUAUAGAUUGAUUUGUGUAUUAUUCUAGAAGGUUUUGGGGAGAAUUGGGGAAGUUGGUAGGAAUUCUAAUCUUUUUUUUUGCAUCCAAACUUUCUGCCAUUUUUCUGUGGUCCUGGCUGUCCAUUUAAAUGUAAACAUGACUACCACCUCCCUUCUAAACUAACAAAAAUUUUACAACGUAUUCUCACACAAAAGGGAGGUGGCACCUCCCUAAUUAAUAUCAGUAACGGGCCUGCAAGCAGGCCCAAAAUCAAAUUGGGCCAAAAUGCAUAAGCCGUCGCAAACGCCCAUCGAUCCUCG